RNAcentral lists this ribosomal RNA (424 nucleotides) under uncultured prokaryote. RNAcentral's name for it is "bacterial SSU rRNA". It matches the Rfam family "Bacterial small subunit ribosomal RNA", at positions 355 to 796 of the family's 1533-position model. The record is from RNAcentral.
UCGGGAAUCUUGCACAAUGGGCGAAAGCCUGAUCCAGCCAUGCCGCGUGAGUGAUGAAGGCCUUAGGGUUGUAAAGCUCUUUCGCCGGUGAAGAUAAUGACGGUAACCGGUAAAGAAGCCCCGGCUAACUUCGUGCCAGCAGCCGCGGUAAUACGAAGGGGGCUAGCGUUGUUCGGAAUUACUGGGCGUAAAGCGCGCGUAGGCGGGUCAUUAAGUCAGGGGUGAAAUCCCGGGACUCAACCUCGGAAUUGCCUCUGAUACUGGUGGCCUUGAGUCCGUGAGAGGUGAGUGGAACUCCGAGUGUAGAGGUGAAAUUCGUAGAUAUUCGGAAGAACACCAGUGGCGAAGGCGGCUCACUGGCACGGUACUGACGCUGAGGUGCGAAAGCGUGGGGAGCAAACAGGAUUAGAUACCCGCGUAGUUC